Molecule: transfer RNA, 74 nt
Filed under: Minisyncoccota bacterium
Lineage: Bacteria; Bacillati; Minisyncoccota
Description: tRNA-Ala
Rfam family: tRNA
About the family: Transfer RNA (tRNA) molecules are approximately 80 nucleotides in length. Their secondary structure includes four short double-helical elements and three loops (D, anti-codon, and T loops). Further hydrogen bonds mediate the characteristic L-shaped molecular structure. tRNAs have two regions of fundamental functional importance: the anti-codon, which is responsible for specific mRNA codon recognition, and the 3' end, to which the tRNAs corresponding amino acid is attached (by aminoacyl-tRNA synthetases). tRNAs cope with the degeneracy of the genetic code in two manners: having more than one tRNA (with a specific anti-codon) for a particular amino acid; and 'wobble' base-pairing, i.e. permitting non-standard base-pairing at the 3rd anti-codon position.
Source: RNAcentral
GGGCCUGUAGCUCAAUUGGCUAGAGCGCCUCACUUGCACUGAGGAGGUAGCGGGUUCAAAUCCUGUCAGGUCCA